RNAcentral lists this long non-coding RNA (429 nucleotides) under Bos taurus (domestic cattle). RNAcentral describes it as "long non-coding RNA NONBTAT017856". Lineage: Eukaryota; Metazoa; Chordata; Mammalia; Artiodactyla; Bovidae. The record is from RNAcentral.
GGAUGUUAAGGUUUUUAAUAAAUCCUCAGACAUAAGACAUUUUUGAGGGCUCAAUGCCAGUCACAUAUGCCUCAAGGUUGUCAUGAUGAGUGAGGACAUCCCCAUGCUCUGAGUUAGACAACAGUGGAUGCAACAGAAGAGCCCUAAGGAAUCAGCUUUACUAUUUUGGCCUUUGAUGCUUUGGCUGCAUUUUAAACAGCAGCCUGUAACUCAGGUGCUAUUGGCUUCAGUGUCAGAUACAAGGUUGUUCUUUGGCUUCCUAAGAGGAUGAAGAGGCUGUGCUAAGAUGGCCCCCAAGGUCAAAUUCUGAUGAUCGAGAUAGAUCCCUCUACUUCUGCUUCAGAACAAUUUCCUGGGAGAGGAACCCAAGAGGUGAAGAGGAACCCAAGAGGCGAAGAGGAACCCAAGUGAGGUGGGGGCAAGUUUUCC